GGAGGAUUAGCAUAAUUGGUAAUGCAGCAGUUUUGAAAACUGCCGUAAGAGAAAUCUUUUGCAGGUUCGAGUCCUGUGUCCUCCG
RNAcentral lists this transfer RNA (85 nucleotides) under Bacteroidia bacterium. RNAcentral describes it as "tRNA-Ser". It matches the Rfam family "tRNA". From Rfam's summary of the family: Transfer RNA (tRNA) molecules are approximately 80 nucleotides in length. Their secondary structure includes four short double-helical elements and three loops (D, anti-codon, and T loops). Lineage: Bacteria; Pseudomonadati; Bacteroidota; Bacteroidia. The record is from RNAcentral.